RNAcentral lists this ribosomal RNA (1322 nucleotides) under Madachauliodes sp. Its description in RNAcentral is "16S ribosomal RNA". The stretch from base 1079 to 1237 matches the Rfam family "Archaeal large subunit ribosomal RNA", at positions 2544 to 2703 of the family's 2987-position model. Lineage: Eukaryota; Metazoa; Arthropoda; Insecta; Megaloptera; Corydalidae. The record is from RNAcentral.
GAAAGUAAUUAUUUAUUUAUAAGGAAUAUUUUAAGUGUGUUAUUAAUUAAAAUAAUAUUAAUGUAAAAGUUUUAGUAUAAUUUAUAGAAAAAAUUUGUUUAAUUAUAGUGAAUUACGUAUUGUAAAAUAAUAUUGAAAUAUUUUGAAAUUUUUUUUAUUUAAAAGUUGUUUUAAUUUUGUGUACCUUUUGUAUCAGGGUUUAUUAAUUAAUUUUUAUUUAUAUAUAAAUUUCUCGAAUUGGAAGGAUUUAAUGAAUUAUAGAAAAUUUUACGUAUUAAAGUGAUUUUAAAUGAUUUAUUGGAAAUGAAAUGUUAUUCGAAUUUUAAUAUAUCUAGUUUUUUAAGAAGUAAAUUUAAUUUAUAUGAUAUUAAUAUUUGGUUUAUUUAGUAAAUUAGUUGUUUAAUAUUAUAAGUAUUUUAAGGGAUAAGCUUUAAUUUAUUAGUUAUAAUUGAUUUAUAUAGGUUUAAUUGUAGAUUUAGGAAUGGUUAACAAUAAAAAUUUUGUUUUAAUUUAUUAAUAAAUAAGGAAAAUUUAUGUUUAAUUUAAGUUAUAUAUUAAAAUAUAAGUUAUAAUAGUAAAAAAUUUAGUUAUAAUGAUAAAAUUAGUAUAAAAUUUUGUUUUAAUAUCUUAAUUUAAGAAGAUUAAUUUAAGGAAUUCGGCAAAUAAAAAACUCACCUGUUUAACAAAAACAUGUCUUUUUGAUUAAUAAUUUAAAGUCUGGCCUGCCCACUGAAAUUUUUAAAGGGCCGCGGUAUUUUGACUGUGCAAAGGUAGCAUAAUCAUUAGUCUUUUAAUUGGAGGCUUGAAUGAAGGGUUGGAUGAGGUUUUAACUGUCUCAAAUUAAUAAAUAGAAUAAUUUAAUUUUUAAGUCAAAAAGCUUAAAUUUAAUUAAUAGACGAGAAGACCCUAUAGAUUUUUAUAUUUAAUUUUGUUUGUUUAAUGAAGUUUAAUUAAUUACAAAUAAAUUUAAGUAUUUUGUUGGGGUGACAAAAAAAUUUAAGUAACUUUUUUAGGUUUUUCCAUUAAUUUAUGUAUAAUUGAUCCAUUAAUUAUGAUUAAAAGAUUAAAAUACCUUAGGGAUAACAGCGUAAUUUUUUUGGAGAGUUCAUAUCGAUAAAAAAGUUUGCGACCUCGAUGUUGAAUUAAAGAUAAAUUUAGGUGCAGAAAUUUAAAGUUUUGGUCUGUUCGACCAUUGGAUCUUUACAUGAUUUGAGUUCAAACCGGCGUGAGCCAGGUUGGUUUCUAUCUUUAAUAAGUUAAAAUAUUUUAGUACGAAAGGACCAAAUAUUUAAUAAAAUAUUUUUAUGUUGAGUAAAAUUAUU